RNAcentral lists this transfer RNA (76 nucleotides) under Clostridiales bacterium. RNAcentral describes it as "tRNA-Trp". It matches the Rfam family "tRNA". From Rfam's summary of the family: Transfer RNA (tRNA) molecules are approximately 80 nucleotides in length. Their secondary structure includes four short double-helical elements and three loops (D, anti-codon, and T loops). The record is from RNAcentral. Lineage: Bacteria; Bacillati; Bacillota; Clostridia; Eubacteriales.
AGGGGUGUAGCUCAAUUGGUAGAGUAGCGGUCUCCAAAACCGUUGGCUUAGGGUUCGAGUCCCUACUCCCCUGCCA